This is a long non-coding RNA of Serinus canaria (Common canary), 243 nucleotides long. RefSeq lists it as uncharacterized. The transcript is spliced from 3 exons. The record is from RefSeq and is a predicted model, not a curated record. NCBI's taxonomy places the organism in Eukaryota, Metazoa, Chordata, Aves, Passeriformes, Fringillidae.
GGGGUCUCAAGGUCACCUAAGGGUCCCGAAAAAUCAGGAGAUCACCUGAGAUCCCCAGGAGGUCCCCUAGAGGUCACCUGAGGUCACCUGAGGUGCCCCAAGGUCACCUGGAAGACCCUGGAGAUCACCUGGAGAUCACCUGGAGGUCCCCUGAGAUGCCCAGGAGAUCACCUGAGGUGCCCCAAGGUCACCUGGAGGUCACCUGAGAUCCCCUGGAGGUCCCCAGAAGGUCCCCCUGAGGUC